Molecule: ribosomal RNA, 577 nt
Filed under: uncultured bacterium
Lineage: Bacteria
Description: bacterial SSU rRNA
Rfam family: Bacterial small subunit ribosomal RNA
Source: RNAcentral
AGGCAGCAGUGGGGAAUUUUGGACAAUGGGCGAAAGCCUGAUCCAGCAAUGCCGCGUGCAGGAAGAAGGCCUUCGGGUUGUAAACUGCUUUUGUACGGAGCGAAAAAGUCUGCCUUAAUACGGCGGGCCCAUGACGGUACCGUAAGAAUAAGCACCGGCUAACUACGUGCCAGCAGCCGCGGUAAUACGUAGGGUGCGAGCGUUAAUCGGAAUUACUGGGCGUAAAGCGUGCGCAGGCGGUUAUAUAAGACAGUUGUGAAAUCCCCGGGCUCAACCUGGGAAUUGCAUCUGUGACUGUAUAGCUAGAGUACGGUAGAGGGGGAUGGAAUUCCGCGUGUAGCAGUGAAAUGCGUAGAUAUGCGGAGGAACACCGAUGGCGAAGGCAAUCCCCUGGACCUGUACUGACGCUCAUGCACGAAAGCGUGGGGAGCAAACAGGAUUAGAUACCCUGGUAGUCCACGCCCUAAACGAUGUCAACUGGUUGUUGGGUGCAUUAGUACUCAGUAACGAAGCUAACGCGUGAAGUUGACCGCCUGGGGAGUACGGCCGCAAGGUUGAAACUCAAAAGAAUUGACGG